This is a non-coding RNA of Vicugna pacos (alpaca), 2985 nucleotides long. Lineage: Eukaryota; Metazoa; Chordata; Mammalia; Artiodactyla; Camelidae. The record is from RefSeq and is a predicted model, not a curated record.
CGCUGCAGAGGCGCCACGCAAAGGCCACCCCUCCUCCUGAAAAGAUGGUUUCCCUGGGCCAGACGCCUCGCGGAGCGCAGCGACUCGGCGGCGCAGGCUCGGCGCUCUUCCUGCCCUGAGCGCGGCGAGGACUCGGUGGGGAUUAAUGGUGCCCUGCCUCGUUCCGCCGCCGCGGCUGAGCCUUACCUUUCGAUUUCACUUACAGGGAGGAAAUAAAUUGGAAUCGACUCAGGCAGUGCUUUUUGGAAGAAAGCCUUUCGUACUGUAAACAUGUUUCAGGCGAUCCUGUCAGCAGCACUUUAACACCCAUCUUCCGUUUAGGUUUAUGACAGGGGAAGAAGCUCAAGAUACACAGAACACAACACACACACACACACACACACAGGUCCCCGCGCCCUCGCCAGCUCCUAGCCCUUCUUUGAAGUUGCAACUGGCCGCCGCUAGCCGGGGGUGGGUGGGGGUGGGGGAGUCGUUUCCCGGGCGGUCGGCUCCACCAUACCCCAUCCCCACCCCCUCGGCCACGGUGCCCAGUUCCGCUCCUGACCGGAACUGACAGCCACUCGGCCCCCUUGUCUCCCGCGCGCCCACCGCCUUCGCUCUGGACUCUUAAGUGCUCACUGCGCGCUGUGCGUCUGGAACCCACGCUCCGGCUGGCAUGAGACAUUCGUGCAUGGGCUGGGCACCCCCUCCCUGGUUCCACUGAGCGUGCAGCUGCCUGAUCUCUUGCAGGAAGGCAGAGCAGGGAAAGGAAAAAGCCACCCGGAGAAGGGAGGUUGACAAUUGGUUGCACCCGAAUCUUCAAGCGUCCCCUCCCCAGGGACUUAGGAGGAGCUGGCUGGCCUGAGUGCCCUUCCUCCUACGGGAAAGGCAGGAGGAGAGGGAAGUCGCCGAAUCCCCGAGGGCCAUGGAGGCGCCCCGGGUGCCAGGGCCCAUCGGUAUGGGCGCACCGACGCCCCCAGUGACUCAGCCCCCAGGUCUCAGGUCUAGGAGAAGGGGUCUUCUGGCAGGCCACCGCGGCAGCCAGCGUCCUGGAGGGGCUGCCUACCCCUCCGCGCGGCGCCCCAAACCAUCCCAGUGACCCCAGCACGCGGUGUGGAUGAGAGCACAUCCCGCGGGAUCCCCAGCCGCAGUUCAACAGCCAAGUAGAAGCAAUUACAGUUGGAGCCCCGUGGGGGAAAGCGGCUGAUUUCACUUAUGGAAAAACGCUUAAACAAGAGCAAACCUAAGCCAGCGUUAGCAAACUAGCUGACCUACAAUUGGAGGUUGUGCGAGGGCGGACUGGGGCGGACGCGUCUGCCAGGGAGGGAAACCCGCUGGGGAGUGGGCAGAGGGAAGCGAAUCAAAAUGUCAGAUAAGAGAAAGAGAGGAAGAGGGGAGGAGGAGGAAGAGAGGCGCUUGAUUGCAGAGAGGGAGAAUGGGAAGGCUCGGAGACUGCACGGGCUGCCAGGUGACGCGGGUCAGACGGGAAGAGAGGCGGGCGCUUAGUGGGCAGCGGGCGCAGGACGCGCGGGCUCCGCCAGGCACCAGAUCUCCUCGCUCCCAGCCCUCCCCUCCCCGGAUCCCGCCUCUGCCCGACGUCACGUGUGGCGCAGACGGCUGCUCUGGGGAUAGGAGGGGUGGGGUGGGGCAGGGACCAAAGAACUCCGCGCCCCAGACCGCGCCGGGCGUGCUGCACACCUGGCAUCCGGGACGCGCCAUCUGCUCUGAGCUCACCGCCUCUCGGGCCAGGGGUGUGGGCUUGGAGAGAUACGACAAUCCUGCCUGGGAAGAGGAUGCAUUCGAGUCAACUGAAGCAAUGAAGCCAGUCAAUCAAUGCUUAUGGUGCUCCUACUGUGUGCCGAGCGUCCCCUCCAGCUGCUGGGCUUGGGAACUGCACCAUCUGUUCUGUUGUGUAUAUUGUGUAAUAAAUUCACAAUUCGAACGAUAAUUUAUAAGAUAAUUCGCUAUGCCAAGGAGGGUGGUUGAGGCAGUUUGAGGGUCUGGAGAGGUGUUGCGUCUGGCAGAGUAAGGUAUGAAAGGUUGGUGAUUUUCUUCUGCUUCCCGAAGUCUGAGUGACCCUUCCUUGUCCUACCCCCCCCCAGCCCCGUGCUUCCUGUCCCCCAUUCUCACAACACAGAUAGAAAUUAACAACAAUAAUUUAAAAAUAAUAAUUUAGUGGUACUUAAUCUGGGCUAGAAUGGCUGGUGAGUAACUGAAACCUAGUUCCUGAACACUCAAAACUUGACUCAUUAAUUUCAUAAAUAUGAGACUCAGAACACUGCCUUGUUGGAACAAGUAUUUUGUAAUGUAACUUUACCAUUCUGAGAGAAAAUUCGUCGACCAUAAAACUGUAUUUUUUUAAAUCAACAUAAUGCUCAAGCCAAAAUAUAAAGGAAAACUAGGCACACAGUUUAUAAUACAAUAAUAUACAUUACAAAUGUGCAAUGCCCAGGCUAUAUUUCACUAGAACAUCCCCAAAUUUCUAAAAUUCUCCCCAGGGAGUACUUCCCAGAUGUGAGUUGCAAACUAAGAGUGCCAGGCAAGAAAUGGGAAUGCUAUUGAUAUGCCAAAGUCUUAAACUCACAGUGGAUGUGAUUAUUCCGAUAAAUCUGUCUUCAGAUAUUUAUGCCUUUGUGUUCUCUCCCCCAUUGACUUUGGAUUUGGUCACGUGGAUUGCUUUAGCCAAUAUGGCAUUAGCAAACAUGACCCAAGAGGAGGCUUGAUAAGUGCCUGCACGUUUAUUGGGGUUUGUCCACUUGAAACCUUAAAGGCAUCGUGUUUUGAAGAAGCUAAUCUGUCUUACUGAAGGAUGAAAGGCCCUAUGGGGAGAACGUGAUGCCCUGCCAGCUCUAGUGUCCCAUGCAUGUGACUGAGGCUAUCUUGGACUUCAGUAGGAUUGUCAGAUGACUUCAGCCACAUGAGUGAUUCCCAGAUGAGUCCAGCAGAAGAAUCCCUAGAUUGACAACCCACAGAAUUAUGAGAACAGUAAAUUGUUGUUUUAAAUCA